RNAcentral lists this ribosomal RNA (253 nucleotides) under uncultured bacterium. RNAcentral describes it as "partial 16S ribosomal RNA". It matches the Rfam family "Bacterial small subunit ribosomal RNA", at positions 524 to 776 of the family's 1533-position model. The record is from RNAcentral.
UACGUAGGGGGCAAGCGUUGUCCGGAAUCAUUGGGCGUAAAGAGCGUGUAGGCGGCCCGGUAAGUCUGCUCUGAAAGCCCGGGGCUCAACCCCGGGAGGCGGGUGGAUACUGCUCAGCUCGAGUCCGGAAGAGGCGAGUGGAAUUCCUGGUGUAGCGGUGAAAUGCGCAGAUAUCAGGAGGAACACCAAUGGCGAAGGCAGCUCGCUGGGACGGUACUGACGCUGAGACGCGAAAGCGUGGGGAGCAAACAGG